UCCAUUUUACAAUCGAGUGCUAGUGUGUAAGUUGUAUUAUCGUUUUGUAGCUGUAGUUUGUAACAGUGUUAUGCGAACUGUGAGUGUUACUUGAUGUCCUAUUUGAUACGAGUUAAUAAAGCAUGUCAUGCAAAUUUAAGGGACAUGGAUUCUCUAGCUUUAGGGAGGGAAAGUGACCUACCUUUUUAUUUAUCUCUCAUCUUUUAUUUUCUCUUUUAUAUUUUUCCUCCACAUUUUUCAACAUUCUAUCUCCUUGUUUAGGCCUAAAGCCACCAAAAGAUGGUCAAUUGUAGAGAAUCUAAUUCCAAAUUUAUGGAGGUUGAAGGUCUAU
Molecule: long non-coding RNA, 331 nt
Filed under: Medicago truncatula (barrel medic)
Lineage: Eukaryota; Viridiplantae; Streptophyta; Magnoliopsida; Fabales; Fabaceae
Description: long non-coding RNA (MTRU_LNC008867)
Source: RNAcentral